GGGAUUUUAUUAAUAUAUUAAGAAUUAAGUAAACUGUUGUUUAAUAGAAGUAAUUUUUGUAAAAUUAAUUUUUAGUAGGGUUUAAUGAAUUGAGGUUUAAGGAUUGAUAAUGAAUUAGUACUGUGAAGGGAUUGUGAAAUAUUGUUGAAAUAUUUAUUUAUUUGAAAGUAAGAUUAAAUUUUGUACCUUGUGUAUCAGGGUUUAUUUAAUGUAAUUUAUUGUCAGUAAAUAUCCCGAAUCAAAAAGGGCGAGGAUUUUAAGAUGGUUGUUGUGGUAAUAUUAUCAUAAAUGAAGUUUUAGUAAUGAAAUAUUAGACGUGUUUUGUGAUAUCUGGUUUUCUGAGAAAUAAAUUAAAUUUAUUUUAUGUUGAGAUAAGGUUAUAUUAAGUAAUUUUUAUUUUAAUAUUUAAUAUAUUUUUGGGGAUAAGCUGGAGGAUACGAAUUAUAAGGUUUGACUAUUUAAUUAAUUUUUGUAGGCUUUAAAUUAGCUUUUAUUGAAAAUUGUUAUAAGUUAAUUAAUAUUUAAUAUGAAUUUUUUAGGAUUUUUAAUUUAUUUAUUAGAAUUAAAUAAUUAAUGAAAAGUUAUUUGAAAUUAUGAUGAAAUGAGUAGAGGGGAUAGUGUUUGAUUGAUAUUUUUGUUAAAUUAUAUUAAAGGAAUUCGGCAAAAUUUUUAUUCGUAUGUUUAUCAAAAACAUUUCUUCCUGAUUUAAUAGGAAGUAGGACCUGCCCACUGAUUAAAUUUAAAGGGCCGCGGUAGCUUGACCGUGCAAAGGUAGCAAAAUCAUUAGUCUUUUAAUUGGAGGCUGGUAUGAAUGGUUUGACGAGAUAAAGGCUGUCUAUUUUAUAUGAAUUGAAUUUAACUUUUUAGUGAAAAGGCUAAAAUAUUAUUAGAGGACGAGAAGACCCUAUAGAGUUUUACUGAAAAUUUAUUAAAUUAUUUUAGUAGUUUGUCUAAUUAAUUAGAUUUAUUAGUUUUGUUGGGGAGACAUAAAGGAUUAAAUAACUCUUUAUUUUAUAUUACGUUAAUUUGUGGAUAAAUGAUCCAUUAUUAGUGAUUAUAAGAUUAAAUUACCUUAGGGAUAACAGCGUAAUUUUUUUUGAGAGUUCUUAUCGAUAAAGAAGAUUGCGACCUCGAUGUUGGAUUAAGAAUAUUUUUAGGUGAAGAGGUUUAAAAAAUAAGUCUGUUCGACUUUUAAAAUCUUACAUGAUCUGAGUUCAGACCGGCGUGAGCCAGGUUGGUUUCUAUCCUUAAUAAAUUUUGAAAUUUUAGUACGAAAGGACCAGAUUUUUAAAAUAAUUUUAGUUUUAUUGAAUGUUAUUAAAUUUGUAA
Molecule: ribosomal RNA, 1329 nt
Filed under: Phyllomimus sinicus
Lineage: Eukaryota; Metazoa; Arthropoda; Insecta; Orthoptera; Tettigoniidae
Description: 16S ribosomal RNA
Rfam family: Archaeal large subunit ribosomal RNA (bases 631-1329)
Source: RNAcentral